Long non-coding RNA from Trematomus bernacchii (emerald rockcod), 285 nucleotides. RefSeq lists it as uncharacterized. The transcript has 4 exons. The record is from RefSeq and is a predicted model, not a curated record. Lineage: Eukaryota; Metazoa; Chordata; Actinopteri; Perciformes; Nototheniidae.
AUCAGAAGAGAUAAGAUAAUCACAGCCAAGAUCCAGAAGAACUGUGACUCUGCUGUGGAACAGGAAGUGAAGACACACAGAGAGGCUUCAGGUUCCAUCUCACCUGAAAACGCACCUGAAUCUUCAGACAGGUCCAGAAGGAGAAACAUCCCAAAGAAAUGUUGCAUUUUGCAGUGAAAAUCAGAUCAGAGCGUAUUCCAAAACAGCAAAAGCCGCUUUCACACCAAGUACUUUGCCGUACUUAGUUCCCAGCACUUAGUACCCCCAUGGAACUAAGAGCAGAUC